This 449-nucleotide ribosomal RNA is filed under the name uncultured bacterium. Its description in RNAcentral is "partial 16S ribosomal RNA". It matches the Rfam family "Bacterial small subunit ribosomal RNA", at positions 29 to 523 of the family's 1533-position model. The record is from RNAcentral.
AACGAACGCUGGCGGCAGGCCUAAAACAUGCAAGUCGAACGAUCUAGCAAUAGAUAGUGGCGCACGGGUGAGUAACACGUGGGAAUAUCCCUUUCACUACGGAACAACGUCGGGAAACUGACGCUAAUACCGUAUAAUGUCUCCGGACCAAAGAUUUAUCGGUGAAAGAUUAGCCCGCGUCUGAUUAGCUAGUUGGUGAGGUAACGGCUCACCAAGGCAACGAUCAGUAGCUGGUCUGAGAGGAUGAUCAGCCACACUGGAACUGAGACACGGUCCAGACUCCUACGGGAGGCAGCAGUUAGGAAUAUUGGACAAUGGGGGCAACCCUGAUCCAGCCAUGCCGCGUGUGUGACGAAGGCCUUAGGGUUGUAAAGCACUUUCGUCUACGAAGAUAAUGACAGUAGUAGAAGAAGAAGCUCCGGCUAAAUUCGUGCCAGCAGCCGCAGUAA